This 497-nucleotide ribosomal RNA is filed under the name uncultured bacterium. RNAcentral's name for it is "partial 16S ribosomal RNA". It matches the Rfam family "Bacterial small subunit ribosomal RNA", at positions 28 to 507 of the family's 1533-position model. The record is from RNAcentral.
GAUGAACGCUGGCGGCGUGCCUAAUACAUGCAAGUCGAGCGAACGGACGAGAAGCUUGCUUCUCUGAUGUUAGCGGCGGACGGGUGAGUAACACGUGGAUAACCUACCUAUAAGACUGGGAUAACUUCGGGAAACCGGAGCUAAUACCGGAUAAUAUUUUGAACCGCAUGGUUCAAAAGUGAAAGACGGUCUUGCUGUCACUUAUAGAUGGAUCCGCUCUGCAUUAGCUAGUUGGUAAGGUAACGGCUUACCAAGGCAACGAUGCAUAGCCGACCUGAGAGGGUGAUCGGCCACACUGGAACUGCAACACGGUCCAGACUCCUACGGGAGGCAGCAGUAGGGAAUCUUCCGCAAUGGGCGAAAGCCUGACGGAGCAACGCCGCGUGAGUGAUGAAGGUCUUCGGAUCGUAAAACUCUGUUAUUAGGGAAGAACAUAUGUGUAAGUAACUGUGCACAUCUUGACGGUACCUAAUCAGAAAGCCACGGCUAACUACGUG